This 492-nucleotide ribosomal RNA is filed under the name uncultured bacterium. RNAcentral's name for it is "partial 16S ribosomal RNA". It matches the Rfam family "Bacterial small subunit ribosomal RNA", at positions 29 to 507 of the family's 1533-position model. The record is from RNAcentral.
AGUGAACGCUGGCGGUAGGCCUAACACAUGCAAGUCGAACGGCAGCACAGUAAGAGCUUGCUCUUACGGGUGGCGAGUGGCGGACGGGUGAGGAAUACAUCGGAAUCUACUUUUUCGUGGGGGAUAACGUAGGGAAACUUACGCUAAUACCGCAUACGACCUACGGGUGAAAGCAGGGGAUCUUCGGACCUUGCGCGAUUGAAUGAGCCGAUGUCGGAUUAGCUAGUUGGCGGGGUAAAGGCCCACCAAGGCGACGAUCCGUAGCUGGUCUGAGAGGAUGAUCAGCCCAAAUGGAACUGAGACACGGUCCCGACUCCUACGGGAGGCAGCCGUGGGGAAUAUUGGACAAUGGGCGCAAACCUGAUCCAGCCAUACCGCGUGGGUGAAGAAGGCCUUCGGGUUGUAAAGCCCUUUUGUUGGGAAAGAAAAGCAGCAGGUUAAUACCCCGCUGUUCUGACGGUACCCAAAGAAUAAGCAACGGCUAACUUCGUG